Non-coding RNA from Camellia sinensis, 642 nucleotides. Lineage: Eukaryota; Viridiplantae; Streptophyta; Magnoliopsida; Ericales; Theaceae. The record is from RefSeq and is a predicted model, not a curated record.
AACCAUUCACUAGUUCUGAUAAUUAUGUGUUAUAUGCAAAUUAUCGAAACAAUAAAGUAUUCAUACUCACUUUUCUGUUUUCACAUGCAAAGGGCAGUGAGUAUCACUCCAUCAAUAGCACAUCAACUGAUUCAGAUUCUGAGAUCAGAGAACAUUGAAUUUGUAGUAUCUCCAUGUGAAGCUGAUGCACAAUUAGCAUACCUAUCCAGCCUAGAAGCAGAAAAAGGUGGAAUUGUAGCAGUGACUUCAAAGGACAGUGAUCUACUGGCAUAUGGCUGUCCAACUGUUGUCUUCAAGAUGGACCGCUAUGGCAAUGGUGAAGAGAUAGUGCAAAACAAGGUUUUUUAGUCUGCAUCUCGUGUGCCUUCCUUCCAAUGUUUUGAUAAAGAACUUUUCAUAGGCAUGUGCGCUUAGCUGGCUGCGCUUUUCUUCCAUCUGUUCCUGGAAUUGGAAUUACGAAAGCUUAUUCUUUGGUUUCCAAGUACCGGAACUUGGAUCGUUGUGCACUCUUUUGGAAUAAUUGCUUUGAAAAAACCUGGAACCUAGAUAGUUCUUUCAUAACCAAGUGAGACUUCUCUUCAAUUUUGCCAUUUGGUGAGUUGAAAUCUUCAGAUUCAGUGCUCUCUAGACUGAAGUGUUAGU